CACCAGUUUGCAAUAGGUGACCUAACUUAUCAAUUUCCAAAAUCAUCAUGUAUAUCACCUGGACGGGUUAAUCCAUAAUACUCUUUUACUUUCCAUUGACUGGCCUUAGCUCUGGCAGACUGAAUAUUUUUAUCAUUAUAAAUAAACUUUAUGAUAGUUGAAGUAAAGUUUCUGCCUGUCUUUCAGUUAAAUUCUAACUGUUGAAGUAUUUCACUUAUAUUAAUU
Pelobates cultripes (western spadefoot toad) is the source of this 225-nucleotide non-coding RNA. Lineage: Eukaryota; Metazoa; Chordata; Amphibia; Anura; Pelobatidae. The record is from the annotation of a GenBank genome assembly.